Elaeis guineensis (African oil palm) is the source of this 666-nucleotide non-coding RNA. Lineage: Eukaryota; Viridiplantae; Streptophyta; Magnoliopsida; Arecales; Arecaceae. The record is from RefSeq and is a predicted model, not a curated record.
AAAGAUAUUAAGAAUUAUUUUAGUCAAAAUAGGUAGUUAUUUUUAAUUUAUGUUUUAAAUGGGUAGUUUUUUUUAUUCAGAAUUUGUGUAGGUAGUUAUUUUUAAGUUAAAGAUAUAGUUGAAAAUUUAUUUUUGUAUAAUAUAUUUGAACGAUAAAAUGUAUCUGGGGAUGGUUAUGCUACGUGACAUGUGUACCUCCUCCCCCCCCACCUCCCGAACACCCUCCCUCGCGGUUCUUUUAAAUUACAAUCCAUGUUUGGUCCCUCAUGUUUCAAAAAGUUAAAAAAGAAAUUCUAUUUUGUUUUUCUUGGAAGAGAUCCAAAUCUCAUGGUACUUCACUCUGGGCAUGACAGGAUGCCAACCGGUCCUUACCCGCUCCAGAACAUUGGCUUCUUGUUGUAGGCUUGCGUGCUAACCAUACAAUGUGUCGUGACCCCAUGCAGGAGGAAUAAAUUCCAUGCGACCAUAGCUGGUGGGCAGGCCCGACAUUUGGACCAUGUGACGUACACUGGCUCGAGUUCAAGGCCAAGUCCACAUUGAACUUUAUUGGUUUCGUCUCUUGACCGCUGGAAAUAUGAUUCCCAACUCCAGUCGAUAUACUCCUGCAGUUCGCUACUCUACGUCAAUUGAUUUCUCUUUAUCCGAACGAUCUCUCUCUUUUCGUCA